Molecule: long non-coding RNA, 1349 nt
Filed under: Equus caballus (horse)
Lineage: Eukaryota; Metazoa; Chordata; Mammalia; Perissodactyla; Equidae
Description: lncRNA (ENSECAG00000048309.1)
Source: RNAcentral
ACCUACUGUGUGUUCAAUACAAUGGGAGAUGAAGAGGGAUGGCAGUGUUAUUUUGCUCUUUUAUGGCUUAGACAUAGGCAUGCAGAGGUUAAGCCCACUGCCCAAAGCUGACUUAUUCUCCAUUUUCUGCACUGGGUUAGGAGUCAGUACAGUAAAUUAAAGUUUGUUAGAUGUGCAUUUUCACAGCUCCAGGCCUCCACUUACAGGAGAAUGCAAGCUUUGGGAAGCUGGUCUCUUUCCCUCUCAGCUUCAGAAGAGUUAGUGAAGGUUAGGCACCACUGAGUUAGUGACCAAGGGAAAAUUCUUCCUCUCAAUAGCUAAGGCAGCAGGAUCCCUUACACCAUCCCCUCCCUCACCUCCUUCUUUGUGGUAGACACCUACCGUAUCUUAGCCAUAGCCUCUCAAUGCUCUUCUGAAAUAAGAGUGAAGUCCCCUCUAUUUCUUGUCGUGGAAUAAGGACAGCUUGCUGUGACUCAGCAGACCCUUCUCUUUUUCUACCCAGUAUCUAGUCAUCCUAAUGGAACCUUAAUUCUAGCUAAAAAUACUUUUUCAGACUCCCUUACAUCCAGGAGCGCCAUUUGACAUAGUUCUAGCCAGUGAAAUGAAGUUGAAACCCAGUUGAAGUUGCUACUGGGGCUUCCAGGAAAGCUGUUAGAUGGACAUGUUCUGCAGACCAGAACUCAUCCUUGCCCUCCACCUGUCUUUCUUCCUGGAGGAAGGUGAUGCCAGAGGUACAGCAGCCGAAGUUCAGUCAUAAGCAAUAAACAGGAGAACAAAGGUCUACAUGCCGAGGAUGGCAGAGCGAGGAUGGCAGAAUGGAAAGAGGCUGGAUCCUUUAUGGCAUCAUUGUAUCACCAUAACUCAGUGUGCCCACGUACAAUUACAUAUGCAACAUUUGUGAACAACAUAUUCUCAAACCCAAGUCCACGCAUCUGAGGUCAGCAAUGCCAGCUAACCCUCACACAGGGCCUCCCACCUGCCAGGCACUGCGCGAAGCUCUUCAACUGUAUCAGCUCAUUUAAUCCUUCAACAACUGUAUUACAAGCUUGUCCAUGAAGGAGGUUGUUAUUCCCGUUCCUCAGAGAGGAGACGACACUCAAAGAGCUGUCAAGCUGGUAAGGGACAGAGCAGAGAUUCAAAAUAGAAGUUGACCAAAAAUGUCACCAUGGCUGGGGCUGGCCCUGUGGCUGAGUGGUUAAGUUCGUGCGCUCCACUGCAGGCAGCCCAGUGUUUCGUUGGUUCCAAUCCCAGGCGCGGACGUGGCACUGCUCAUCAAACCACGCUGAGGCAGAGUCCCACAUGCCACAACUAGAAGGACCCACAACAAAGAAUAUACAACUAUGUACCAG